UAUUGUCUGACAUCACAAAACUUUCCCACAAGUAAUUGAGAAAUUACUAAAAGCAACAUACCAUUCAUUAUAACCACACAGCUGCGGUCAGAGAGAGAGAAAUAGAGAGAAACCAUCUUCUUGAUUAAAUUGUCCUUGUCCUCGUCCUCUGGCUGUCGCUGCGUUUCGAAGCCAUAAACAUCCAUGUGCCAAACAAUUGAGCCUAAUCCGGAUGCUCCUAUGCCAUAAGGUACGCUGGGUUUCAAGCUGCCGGCGAAAACAAUAUGGGAGCCCCAAACACCAUAUCCCACAGAAUCGGGGAGAUCUGAGCCGGCCUUGUAAGCCAUAUCGGCGAUAUGAUAUCGCACAAUUGACUUCAAGAGGAAGACGAUGGCUGACGUCAUGGAUCUGAAUGGGUUGUCGAUGUUGCAGGCGGUGCAUGAGGUGGAGACGAACUUUUCCAGCUUCCCAAUCUUUGCCUUCAUUGUCGCUCCUCCUCCAACUUGCUUCGCAUGUUGCUGAUUAUAAAACCCCGCUCUGCAUCAAAAUCAAUUUCUCAUUUUUCUUUCUUUUUUCCUUUAAAGAUCACUUCUUCCUGUGAAGUGAAUCAAUCCAUCAGAGAAAGAAAGAAAAUAAUUCGAAAGCAGCUAGAAGAAGAGGGUUAACUCCAAAAAAAAGUUUUUUGUUUCGGAAGUACCGCUUUUACCUUUCAAAAGUUAACACCGUUGACGAUAUUACUGUACGGAAAUUGGGUCGGGCUUAAAUCGUCAGGGUACCAUUGGUGUAUAUAUAUGAGCAUAAGCGUCAGGCCUGGGUUCGAACGAUUGAUUACUGAUCUGUUUUGUUGCUUUAUCUUUGAUGCUGGCAUGGGUUGGACUGAAAGUGAGUAAGAGAGAAAGGUCAGUCUCUUUCUCAGCGGAUUGGUUUCAGGGAGACGAAGAAUACGAUUAAGGAAAUGAUUAGAACACCAAAUUGUCUGGCAAUGGGGUUUUCUUUGUGUUGGAGUGUGAGAUCUCAGUAAUUGAUUGGACUGGUUUGAGAUCUGGUGAUAUACCUGUGCUGCAUAUGUGACAUUCAGAGAUGCUUAUGCUCUUGAAACUGCUGUUUUGCUUGGUAUGCUCGAAACUACAGGACCUGAGAUAUGGUGACAUCUUUGUAAUGGGAAUUGGUAGCGGAGGCACCAUCUCUGGGGUUGGACGGUAUCUCAAAUCUCAGAACCUUGAUUGUAAGAUAUAUGGAGUGGAGCCUGCUGAAAGUAAUAAUAUACUAAAUGGUGGUAAACCAGGUCCUCAUUCGAUUACUGGCAAUGGGAUUGGAUUCAAACCCAAUGUAUUGGACAUGGACAUAAUGGAAAGACUUCUUGAGCUACUUCGUGUAUGUGAUUUCGCUGACAAAGUCUUCAACACCAGUGAGACACGAAUAAAAAUUUUACUUGAAGAGGCACAUGACUGGAAGCUUUCCACUCCAUGCAAGCCAAUACCACAGUGUAGAACCGGAGGAAAUAUUCCAUGAAGCUCAUGAAUGGAAAUUAAUACUCCCAGCCACUGUAUUGUAUUGAUUCACUUAGAAUACAGUUUGCACUGAAAUCUUAAGUCCGGAAAAUAGUUCUCUUUGGCCGGCAAACACGUAAUGGACCUCAGAGACUAAGCUCAGUGUCCCGAAUCUAUCAAAUCAAAGUUGUCAGCUGCUUCAGCCAGGAAAAGGCAUAUAUUUAGGUAGAUCAAGUAUGAGCGUCAGAGGUCAUGGUUUUGGCAUCAAGGGAGGUUUAAUGCUAUCAGAGGCUUCAUUAUGAAAAUUAUCUCAGAUGUAUAAGAAUGAUAUGAAUUUUUUUUGGGUGUAAUUGUGAAGUAUCAGGAAUUAAGUACUUCCAAUUUUUUUUACGCUUAUUCUUGUCUAUGAAGCUUUUGGUUUCUGAAUGACUGACACUAUUACCUAAAUUCAUGUGUUGGAAAGAGUUGCCUGCUUUUACGAUUCUCUGAUGUCUCCUUCACAACCAGCUUCAUACCACUAUUGGGUUUGUAUUCUUAGAAACUUUGGACAUUUUGUAAUCAGAAACUCUUUAGCAGAUAAAUGUUUAAUCAUCACAUUAAGUCAAUUGGAUGAUGAUCUAGGCUUAUAGAAUAUAGAAAUAUGGCAUUAUAAAGUGAAAUGUUUUUUGUUUUAGUGUACUACAUGAAUAUAUCUGGUAAUGCAAGCAGGCUUUUAAUGUAUCUUUAGGCUCAUAUUAGCUUAAUGAAUAGUGUUAAGGGCUGCAAUGAGUGUAUAUUAUAAUGCAAGGAGUCAAAAUUCAAGAAGCUAGAUUUUGAUAAUUAGAUGCAUGUGUCAAUUUCUAACUUUGUUUGCUGUUUUGACCCUCUUUGAAUUGAACCUCUAUGAGAACAUCAAAUUUGAUUGUCACAUAAGAUUUUGGAGUUCCAUUGGUUCUGCAGCACUUGCUGAUGGCUCGUCUGCAAGG
Rosa chinensis is the source of this 2434-nucleotide RNA transcript. It is a transcript of the gene named bifunctional L-3-cyanoalanine synthase/cysteine synthase C1, mitochondrial, with no coding region annotated. The transcript has 12 exons. The record is from RefSeq and is a predicted model, not a curated record. NCBI's taxonomy places the organism in Eukaryota, Viridiplantae, Streptophyta, Magnoliopsida, Rosales, Rosaceae.